CGCAGCCGCGGUAAUUCCAGCUCCAAUAGCGUAUAUUAAAGUUGUUGCAGUUAAAAAGCUCGUAGUUGAAUUUCGGGAUCAAGUCGUCGGUCGUGCCUCGGUACGCACUGGUGACAUUGGUUUCUCCCUUCUGAAGAACCUUGAUGUCAUUAAUUUGGUGUCUUGGGGAAUCAGGACUGUUACUUUGAAAAAAUUAGAGUGUUUAAAGCAGGCUCACGCUUGAAUACAUUAGCAUGGAAUAAUGAAAUAGGACGUUUGAUUCUAUUUUGUUGGUUUCUAGGAUCGACGUAAUGAUUAAUAGGGAUAGUUGGGGGCAUUAGUAUUCAAUUGUCAGAGGUGAAAUUCUUGGAUUUAUUGAAGACUAACUACUGCGAAAGCAUUUGCCAAGGAUGUUUUCAUUAAUCAAGAACGAAAGUUAGGGGAUCGAAGACGAUCAGAUACCGUCGUAGUCUUAACCAUAAACUAUGCCGACUAGGGAUCGGAUGAUGUUAAUUUUUUUAAUGACUCAUUCGGCGCCUUA
RNAcentral lists this ribosomal RNA (520 nucleotides) under uncultured Glomeromycotina. RNAcentral describes it as "SSU rRNA". It matches the Rfam family "Eukaryotic small subunit ribosomal RNA", at positions 569 to 1090 of the family's 1831-position model. The record is from RNAcentral. Lineage: Eukaryota; Fungi; Glomeromycota.